AGGGAAUCCUCGGCAAUGGACGCAAGUCUGACCGAGCAACGCCGCGUGAGUGAAGAAGUGUUUCGGUAUGUAAAGCUCUAUCAGCAGGGAAGAAAAUGACGGUACCUGACUAAGAAGCCCCGGCUAACUACGUGCCAGCAGCCGCGGUAAUACGUAGGGGGCAAGCGUUAUCCGGAUUUACUGGGUGUAAAGGGAGCGUAGACGGCACUGCAAGUCUGGAGUGAAAGCCCGGGGCUCAACCCCGGGACUGCUUUGGAAACUGUGGUGCUAGAGUGCAGGAGAGGUAAGUGGCAUUCCUAGUGUAGCGGUGAAAUGCGUAGAUAUUAGGAGGAACACCAGUGGCGAAGGCGGCUUACUGGACUGUAACUGACGUUGAGGCUCGAAAGCGUGGGGAGCAAAC
Molecule: ribosomal RNA, 400 nt
Filed under: uncultured bacterium
Lineage: Bacteria
Description: bacterial SSU rRNA
Rfam family: Bacterial small subunit ribosomal RNA
Source: RNAcentral